This 253-nucleotide ribosomal RNA is filed under the name uncultured bacterium. Its description in RNAcentral is "partial 16S ribosomal RNA". It matches the Rfam family "Bacterial small subunit ribosomal RNA", at positions 524 to 776 of the family's 1533-position model. The record is from RNAcentral.
UACGUAGGGUGCGAGCGUUGUCCGGAAUUAUUGGGCGUAAAGAGCUCGUAGGCGGUGUGUCACGUCGGCCGUGAAAACCUGCAGCUUAACUGUGGGCGUGCGGUCGAUACGGGCAGACUAGAGGCAUGCAGGGGAGAACGGAAUUCCUGGUGUAGCGGUGAAAUGCGCAGAUAUCAGGAGGAACACCGGUGGCGAAGGCGGUUCUCUGGGCAUGUCCUGACGCUGAGGAGCGAAAGUGUGGGGAGCGAACAGG